Non-coding RNA from Odocoileus virginianus texanus, 2580 nucleotides. The record is from RefSeq and is a predicted model, not a curated record. NCBI's taxonomy places the organism in Eukaryota, Metazoa, Chordata, Mammalia, Artiodactyla, Cervidae.
GUGUACAGCAAAGUGAUUCAGUUACACACUAUGUGUACUAGAAAAUUUUACAAUUACAUAUGUGACUGUACAGUUCCACCGGGCAGUGCUGCUGGCUGCCAUCCCCCUGAUGUACACACAAGGCUCUGAGAGCAGACAGCACUGCCUUCUUGCAACCAUUUGAAGACAGCAGCACCAUGAUGCCAGGUCUGACUAGAGGCGAAAGGACUGACUUCUCUGACAUCUGACCUGACACCUGAGACUGAUGAGAAAUCCUUUUGAUUCCCGCCACCGUCAGUCACCUGAGAAAUGCGGUCCAUCAGCGCUUCACAAGCCUGGCUGGGCAGCAGAGUCAUCUAGAAGGCUUUGUAGAAACAAAUACCUAGGACCCUACUCCAUUCCUAUAGAACUGAACUGAAUCUCUCUCUGGGGGUCAGUCCUAUACUUUUUAAAAGGUGUUUCUGAUGCAGCCAGUCCAGCCUGACAUUUGGAAACCACUGCUUUUGGCUCACACCACUGGCAUAUCCAGUAUGUUUUGAAAUAUUCAGAGACACAGAAACAGAAUAUUUAAAACUGGGAGUGGUUGGAAAAUCUGAAAUGGACAUGACUACACUUUGGGUCUCCCCAAAGGUAUCCCCCCUGCAGAACACCGCCCUGCUCCCUCCUGGGGAGACAGGAAGGUCACCUCACCUGGUCACUAAUGUCUCCAGACUCCCAGAGGGCGAACACCUUCUGUUCAUCCGGGGAAGCAGCCGUCUGUGGGGGAAACUGACCGAGGCCCGGGCGUGAGCUGGCUGUUUGGCUUUAACACAUGAACCCACCCUCUCCUUGGGCCUACCGGUCUGUGCCCGCCCAGUUCUGGGCACAGAGUCCCAGUCCUAGCUUCUGCCUCUCACGAGCAGAGGGUGGAUGCAAACCUGCCUUCUCUUCUCCCUCCUCACCAGCCACACGCGCGGAGACCGCUUCUGUGAGGAGCAGGCAUGCCUGGCCUGAAGUCAGAGAUGCUUGGGAAGGCGGCGAGGCAGCUUCUGUUUUUCCCAUCAGCCUGCCACUAGCUCUCCCUUCUGCUUUAACAUCCAGUGUCCUCCCACCCUCAGUCAACCCUCAGAGCUGUCUAAGAAGCACUCCCACCCCACUAACUCCUUAGGAGUAUCGUGGGAUUCCUUUCAAUCCCUCCUACAAAAGCCGGGUCAGCAUGGGCUACAGGCCCUGAUCCACCCAGAGCAGCCCGUGCCACGUGGCCCAGCAGAGUCUGAGGAUGGACCAGGCAGAGGGAAGCCCAGGCUCCUGGUGCCUGGAGAAGGGGACGGUGGAAAGGGUACCUGGCAGAGUGGGUUCCGGCCUUGGCGCCACAACCCAAGUAACAGUAACAAUUCCUGCCACAUAAAGUCCCAGGUAACUCUCAUUUGCCACCCGUGAGGGAGCCACUCUCCACGAGCGAGGUCCCAUGCAGAGAGUUUACUCAGAGUUCAUGGUCACACAGCUAAUAAGCAGUAGAACGAGGAGUAGAGUCCGAGUAUACUCGCUCUCCCUGGGCCUCAGCUCCCUUGUGUUAAAAAACAAAACAAAAAAAAUGAGGCUGGACAGGUCUGAGGAAUCUUCCACCUUGGACAUGACUAAGAUACAGAAGGGAGUCAGCGAGAGAGCUGGAAGAGAAGGCCAGGGUCUUCUCAGCAGGGAUGCUGACCCUACUGAGAAGCGGCAGGAUGAGCAGGUCCUAGGGAUAGCUACUCCAUGUCCCUUGUCCUCUAUCCCCUCCAACAGCCCAAGAUGGCCUGGCUAACAUGAGGCAGGUGCCCCUGCCUUGCCUGGCUCAGAGAAAGGUGAGUCUGCAGGUAACUGAACCCAUUUGCUGGGUGGACAAAGGAGGCUCCAAAUAGUGCAGGGCGCCCAAACCCCAGUUACCUUCUCUAGAGACCUCACCAAGGAGGCCCCUUGCCACGAGGGCCAGAUCCCCUGGGACACGCCAGCCAGCUUGGGAGUCAGGGCCUCUUGUCCUAGUUCCUGCUCCUCACACACGGAUGGGCCUUUGCCUCAGAUUACCCAAGGCUGCAUGUGCUUCUGACCUGACACUGCGGAUGUCAGUGCCCCUUGUUAAGAGGCAGACACAGCCCCACUUCACCCGACUUGCUGACAGGUCUGGACAGAGCCUGGGAGGAGAAUGAAGAGUGCACCCAGCCGGGCACCCUUGUACCCUCAGCUCAGGGAGAUGGUCUCCAAGGAUCCCUCUGCUCCUGUAUUUCCUCCCCUCUAGGACCCCUUCCAAUGACAGGACAAGACAAGGAGCCCAGGGUGGAGGUGGCCCACCCUGCACCUGCAGGCUCAGCACCAGAAACGCUCAUUGAAAAGCCACAGCUCGUGCUGGCCAGCCAGCUCUAGGACAGGGAGGCCCGCCAGGACCCAGGCACAGCCAAGGGAUCUGGGGAGAGCUCAGCUCGUCUCAGCUGCAGCAGAAAGGAUUUAAGACUUGCAGCCACUGUACUGAGGUUCAAUGUCCGGCUCUAUCACUUCCUGGACAGGCGUGCAUGCCCAGGAGCCCUCCAUGGGGCCUCGUCUGCCGCCGAGCCCACAGGAGCUACUUACAGGCACCAGUAUCUGCUU